RNAcentral lists this transfer RNA (76 nucleotides) under Campylobacter fetus. Its description in RNAcentral is "tRNA-Thr". It matches the Rfam family "tRNA". Rfam says of the family: Transfer RNA (tRNA) molecules are approximately 80 nucleotides in length. The record is from RNAcentral. Lineage: Bacteria; Pseudomonadati; Campylobacterota; Epsilonproteobacteria; Campylobacterales; Campylobacteraceae. RNAcentral also lists the same sequence under 34 other names.
GCUGGUGUAGCUCAGUUGGUAGAGCAACUGCCUUGUAAGCAGUAGGUCGGCGGUUCGACUCCGUUCACCAGCUCCA